AAGAGACAGCAGUAGCCGCGGGAAUACGUAGGUCCCGAGCGUUGUCCGGAUUUAUUGGGCGUAAAGGGAGCGCAGGCGGUUUAGUAAGUCUGAAGUUAAAGGCAUUGGCUCAACCAAUGUAUGCUUUGGAAACUGUUAGACUUGAGUGCAGAAGGGGAGAGUGGAAUUCCAUGUGUAGCGGUGAAAGGCGUAGAUAUAUGGAGGAACACCGGUGACGAAAGCGGCUCUCUGGUCUGUCACUGACGCUGAGGCUCGAAAGCGUGGGUAGCGAACAGGAUUAGAGACCCGCGUAGUCCCUGUCUCUUAUACA
This 310-nucleotide ribosomal RNA is filed under the name uncultured bacterium. RNAcentral describes it as "partial 16S ribosomal RNA". It matches the Rfam family "Bacterial small subunit ribosomal RNA", at positions 503 to 808 of the family's 1533-position model. The record is from RNAcentral.